This 72-nucleotide transfer RNA is filed under the name Pseudomonadota bacterium. RNAcentral describes it as "tRNA-Gly". It matches the Rfam family "tRNA". Rfam says of the family: Transfer RNA (tRNA) molecules are approximately 80 nucleotides in length. Their secondary structure includes four short double-helical elements and three loops (D, anti-codon, and T loops). The record is from RNAcentral. RNAcentral also lists the same sequence under 3 other names. Lineage: Bacteria; Pseudomonadati; Pseudomonadota.
GCGGGAGUGGCGCAAAGGUAGCGCAACGGCCUUCCAAGCCGUGUGUUGCGGGUUCGAGUCCCGUCUCCCGCU